AGAGAUAUGAUAGAGUCCUUGUCUAGGUCAAACACCUAGUCAAGGCUUAUCCAAACAUGGCAAGUUAAAGGACGCCCAACUCUUGAGCACCUCCUUCAUAUUUUUGUGCAUGGAUUACCAGAAAAGGGUGUACAAUGUAUACCCUAAAAGCCAUAAAAUUUUUAAAAAAAAAUUGGAUAAAUUUGGUGCAAAAUUGAAAGAGUUUUGGAUUUCUAAAACUCUAUCUCAUAGAAUUCGAAAUCCAAAAUUAUUCCUUUUAGAUUUGAUCCAAAACACCUUUCAUGUAAGAAAGAAGAGAGGAGACCUUUUGUGAAUGUGGGA
This 321-nucleotide long non-coding RNA is filed under the name Elaeis guineensis (African oil palm). RNAcentral describes it as "long non-coding RNA (EGUI_LNC074427)". The record is from RNAcentral. Lineage: Eukaryota; Viridiplantae; Streptophyta; Magnoliopsida; Arecales; Arecaceae.